AAGACCGUACUUACACAGGAUCAUUUCUAUAGUACGUUCAUUUCUACUUGGUUUUCCAAAGUAGACACUCUCAAUAAGCUUGAUGAUCGUAUCGGGUUCCUUCCGUUGACUCGGGAUGUUAGUUCAGUGCAGAUUGGCUCUUGAGCCCUUCUACCUGAGCAUUGAUGAACGUCCACUGUCGCAUUCCAAGGCAGUGUUGAACGAUUGGAACGAUAUGAGAGCU
Molecule: small nucleolar RNA, 223 nt
Filed under: Pythium aphanidermatum DAOM BR444
Lineage: Eukaryota; Oomycota; Peronosporomycetes; Pythiales; Pythiaceae
Description: snoRNA EPrPAph00000013125
Rfam family: Small nucleolar RNA U3
About the family: Small nucleolar RNAs (snoRNAs) are involved in the processing and modification of rRNA in the nucleolus. There are two main classes of snoRNAs: the box C/D class, and the box H/ACA class.
Source: RNAcentral